RNAcentral lists this ribosomal RNA (406 nucleotides) under uncultured bacterium. RNAcentral describes it as "partial 16S ribosomal RNA". It matches the Rfam family "Bacterial small subunit ribosomal RNA", at positions 30 to 526 of the family's 1533-position model. The record is from RNAcentral.
AUUGAACGCUGGCGGCAGGCCUAACACAUGCAAGUCGAACGAGUGGCGGACGGGUGAGGAAUGUCUGGGAAACUGCUCGAGGGAGGGGGAUAUAUCCUGGAAACGGUAGCAAAUACCGCAGUCUAUCGGAUGUGCACAGAAGGGAUUAUCUAGUAGGUGGGGUAACGGCCCACCUAGGCGACGACCCCUAGCUGGUCUGAGAGGAUGACCAGCCACACUGGAACUGAGACACGGUCCAGACUCCUACGGGAGGCAGCAGUGGGGAAUAUUGCACAAUGGGCGAAAGCCUGAUGCAGCCAUGCCGCGUGUAUGAAGAAGGCCUUCGGGUUGUAAAGUACUUUCAGCGAGGAGGCGUUACUCGCAGAAGAAGGACCGGCUAACUCCGUGCCAGCAGCCGCGGUAAUUC